RNAcentral lists this ribosomal RNA (232 nucleotides) under uncultured bacterium. Its description in RNAcentral is "partial 16S ribosomal RNA". It matches the Rfam family "Bacterial small subunit ribosomal RNA", at positions 104 to 334 of the family's 1533-position model. The record is from RNAcentral.
CGGGGUAAGUAACGCGUGGGUAACCUGCCUUAUACAGGGGGAUAACAGUCAGAAAUGGCUGCUAAUACCGCAUAAGCGCACAGAGCUGCAUGGCUCAGUGUGAAAAACUCCGGUGGUAUAAGAUGGACCCGCGUUGGAUUAGCUAGUUGGUGGGGUAACGGCCCACCAAGGCGACGAUCCAUAGCCGGCCUGAGAGGGUGAACGGCCACAUUGGGACUGAGACACGGCCCAG